This 291-nucleotide ribosomal RNA is filed under the name Sundathelphusa boex. Its description in RNAcentral is "partial 12S ribosomal RNA". Lineage: Eukaryota; Metazoa; Arthropoda; Malacostraca; Decapoda; Parathelphusidae. The record is from RNAcentral.
GGCGGUGAUUUAGUCUUAUUAGAGGAACCUGUUUUUUAAUCGAUGAACCACGUAAUAUCUUACUUAUUUCAAUGGUUUGUAUACCAUCAUUUACAGGUAAUUUUAAAAGAAGAAAUUAUAAAAUUAAUUAAUUAAGGAAAUUAGAUCAAGGUGCAGCUUAUAAGUAAGUUAAAAUGGGUUACAAUAAGAUUUAUUUACUACGAAUAUGUUUAGUAAGAUAAAUAGUGUGAAGGAGGAUUUANUUGUAAUUANAGUUUAAUAAGCUAGGAUGAUAAAAGCUCUAAAUCGUGU